UAAUGUUGUAAUAGCUACUCG
Caenorhabditis elegans is the source of this 21-nucleotide non-coding RNA. NCBI's taxonomy places the organism in Eukaryota, Metazoa, Nematoda, Chromadorea, Rhabditida, Rhabditidae. The record is from Ensembl.